GUCCUUGACCCCAUUACAUCCAUAAAAGACCUUUUGAUUUGAACAUGCAUAUGUUUUUGAGUGUUGCUAUUAGAGGCUUGCCAAGUCUGUUUGUGUUUGCUUUCUUGAGUGCAUUGAGUUGACAUUGUUUACCUUAGACACUUAAGAGAAACACUGAUAGUGCAUCUGUGAGGUUCUGUUGCUUUUGAUUCACCUCUCGAGCGGAUUGAUCAUUUUGUCAUGCUUUGAAUUGCUUGGAUGAUUUCUCUGAGUAUCUGAUUUCUUUGAUUCUGUGUGGAUGCUAUCUACUACUUUCCCUUGUCCGGAUUUCUUGAGGACUGUAAUUCUGUUUGUUUCUGUCCUUGUUAGUCUUUGUGUUUUGUCUGCUGAGUCUGUGUUAAUUCCCUG
This 387-nucleotide long non-coding RNA is filed under the name Vigna radiata. RNAcentral describes it as "long non-coding RNA (VRAD_LNC001968)". Lineage: Eukaryota; Viridiplantae; Streptophyta; Magnoliopsida; Fabales; Fabaceae. The record is from RNAcentral.